GAUCCUGGCUCAGAAUCAACGCUGGCGGCGUGCCUAACACAUGCAAGUCGAACGCGGUUACCCCGCAAGGGGUAACUGAGUGGCGAACGGGUGAGUAACACGUGGGUGACCUACCUUCGAGUGGGGGAUAACGUCCCGAAAGGGACGCUAAUACCGCAUAACAUCCUGCCUUUGAACAGGCGGUGAUCAAAGCCGGGGACCGUAAGGCCCGGCGCUUGAUGAGGGGCCCGCGUCUGAUUAGCUAGUUGGUGGGGUAACGGCUCACCAAGGCGACGAUCAGUAUCCGGCCUGAGAGGGCGGACGGACACACUGGGACUGAGACACGGCCCAGACUCCUACGGGAGGCAGCAGUGGGGAAUUGUUCACAAUGGGCGCAAGCCUGAUGACGCAACGCCGCGUGGAGGAUGAAGGUCUUCGGAUUGUAAACUCCUGUUGCCCGGGACGAAAAGCUUCGACCUAAUACGUCGAAGUCUGACGGUACCGGGUGAGGAAGCCCCGGCUAACUCUGUGCCAGCAGCCGCGGUAAUACAGAGGGGGCAAGCGUUGUUCGGAAUUACUGGGCGUAAAGGGCGCGUAGGCGGCCUGCUAAGUCGAACGUGAAAUCCCCGGGCUCAACCCGGGAACUGCGUCCGAUACUGGUAGGCUUGAAUUCGGGAGAGGGAUGCGGAAUUCCAGGUGUAGCGGUGAAAU
Molecule: ribosomal RNA, 690 nt
Filed under: uncultured Acidobacteriota bacterium
Lineage: Bacteria; Pseudomonadati; Acidobacteriota
Description: bacterial SSU rRNA
Rfam family: Bacterial small subunit ribosomal RNA
Source: RNAcentral